GAUGAACGCUAGCGGCAGGCUUAACACAUGCAAGUCGAGGGGUAGAGGAAGCUUGCUUCCUUGAGACCGGCGCACGGGUGCGUAACGCGUAUGCAAUCUACCUUAUACAGGGGGAUAGCCCAGAGAAAUUUGGAUUAAUACCCCAUAGUAUAAUUGAAUGGCAUCAUUUAAUUAUUAAAGUUCCAACGGUAUAAGAUGAGCAUGCGUCCAUUAGCUAGUUGGUGUGGUAACGGCACACCAAGGCGACGAUGGGUAGGGGUCCUGAGAGGGAGAUCCCCCACACUGGUACUGAGACACGGACCAGACUCCUACGGGAGGCAGCAGUGAGGAAUAUUGGUCAAUGGGCGCAAGCCUGAACCAGCCAUGCCGCGUGCAGGAUGACGGUCCGUACUGGAGUUUUUUUGAAACUUAGUC
RNAcentral lists this ribosomal RNA (414 nucleotides) under uncultured bacterium. Its description in RNAcentral is "bacterial SSU rRNA". It matches the Rfam family "Bacterial small subunit ribosomal RNA", at positions 28 to 453 of the family's 1533-position model. The record is from RNAcentral.